Molecule: long non-coding RNA, 6129 nt
Organism: Oncorhynchus keta (chum salmon)
Lineage: Eukaryota; Metazoa; Chordata; Actinopteri; Salmoniformes; Salmonidae
Exons: 7
Source: RefSeq, a predicted model, not a curated record
ACGGACACUGAGAGACAGCGAGGGAUAGAGAGGGAAAUAGUUAGAUGGCAAUGUAGCAAUGUAACCUGAUCCUUGGCAAACAUUGUAUUUUCAAGUAUAUCCAGUCGAUCAACAUUCAUCCCUGAAGUUUCAUCUGGGUUCACUCACACAUUUCAGAUAUCGUUUUCAUUCAGUCAAAACCUGAACUUCAGAAAGGCUCUGGCACGUCACCUUAAAUGAACCUAUGUCAUAUACGGGAGUGGCCAGCGGAAAUAUCACCAGUUUCACUUCUUUCACGGUCAUCUUUUCAGUUGUCCUUACAACUCUGAAAACACGGCGACAAUUUCCAAGAGAGGACACAGUACUGUAUCUCCUGCUUCACCGAGGUUGUUAAAGGAAGAGGAAAAGGCUUCAGAACUGAACGAACACAGAUCUUCUACAGACCGAGAGACGAGAUCAGAAAGCGGACACACAGCUCCAGAGUGGUAGUAUACAAACAGUCAAAGGAAAUCUAGUUGCCACAUCUAGAAAUGGCAGAGGUAAAACAACUGAACAUAUUGCCCCCCCUCAUCCCCUACCCUGAGGGGAUGACAGAUGAAAAGGAAAAGAAAAUAUAUAAAAAAAAGAUUUUGAAGGGAAAGCCAGAGACUUUAUAUCGUGAUGAAAGAAAACAGGCUCCAUGCGACCUCAUUUUCUACACAACAAAUGUUUCUACAUGGGAAGAGGAAAUACUGAAACACUAUCCUGAGGGAAAACAGUGGGAUGAAAGAUCUAAGGAAUAUUUCAAACAACUGAAAACGAAGGCAGGCACUAUAAAUGUGUAUUAUACUACUGGGACAAUCAUGGUGCAGGAUAAUAGUGAGACGUUAAUGAUAUUCCCAAAUGAUUUCCCAGCCUUGAGAGAGAGAGUGAGAAAGAGCGUCAGGACGACAGAGGAUGUCUUGAAGAAAAUGGCAGAGCUAGGCAUUGAGGAAAGAGGAGAGGAGAGGAAAAGAGAGAGCAAGGACAUAAAAGUGGAAGACAUAAAACAGGAAGCCAUAAAGGGGGAAAUUAAGGAAGAGGUGGAAGGAGGAAAAGGGAAGCCCUGAACAUUCCAGGGCAGAUCAGAAGAGAAACAUUAUUUUACGGGAUGUAUAAUUUGACGAACAGUUAUAAUAAAGCCUGCUGUUCCUCUCACCUUAUUAUUUGAAUGUUGUAUCUUUUACCUUUUGUUUGUUUUUUAUUGAGCUUGUAUGAAAAAUGCAUUCAUAAGUGCUCACCAUCAUCAUUAUCUUGUUUUGGUUAUAGUUUCACUUUCCCAAUGAUAAAGGUGCUUAAAGCAAAAAGGUGGUGGUCCCUGUGAAUUUCCCCAGCAAUAUGUGUUUCAUAUUGUUUCAAAAUGUGUGCUCUAAAAUGUAUCAAGAUUUUUUAAAUGCACUUCAAAUAAAGUUUGAUUUAACAAGUGUCAGGAGUCAGGACGUACUAUAUGUACAGUACCCUGCCCCCAUAUCCCAAUUUUUGCCACCUGUAAGUGAGAAACCUACAUGACAAGUACUGACCGUGUAUUGUGUUCCCUAUGGUUAAAGAACAGAGCAGAAGCGCUGAACUCUGUUCAGAACUCAGACCUACAGGUUAUGGAACAUUUGCUCUUUUAGUAUUUCUGCAGUAUGUUUCCUCAAGGAGAAGGCUUCCCACUUCUAUGUCAAAGAUAAUGCAACAAAAACACUUUAGUGAAUACUACAGUAAUGUGCCCAAAAACACAACAGUAAUUACUAUAGUGUAUAUAUACACACACUACUCUUUUUUACACAGCAUUUAUACUAUAGUAUACUGCAGUAAAUACAACCGUAUUGUUGGAUUCUGUGUUUUACAUUAUAGCCAUUACCAUAUAUAUGAUUGAAUAUUAUCUGCUGUUGGCUUGUGUGUUUGUAUGUGUUAUGCAACAUAGCUGACUUGAAACAUUGUUAACAGCUUCAAGGCCAUGGGCCUUUCACAUGAUGGAAAAAUACAGAGUAGCAUGCAGACAGGAACUGUGCAAUGAGUUGGGGGGCACAUUCAGAGCGGGGUGUUGCGAGAACAAGCGGUCUUUUGUUAGAUAACAGGAGCCAGGUACGAGAUAGAUAGGUACGCAUAGAUAUUCUUCACAGCAAGUUACAUCUAUCAACUGGAGCGCCCUGGGGCUGGUACCAGCUCGUACGAAAACAAUCAAUAAUAGGCUGGGUGAGUCUAAAUCACGCCCAUUCUCUACGAACACUGUUUACAUACAUCUUGUCAGUUCUCUGUUCUGCCCUGCGUGGUAUUACAGUGAGCCCGUAUAUACGAAAGUUGCAUUUCCCAUUUAUUACUUAGCUAAUAAAAAAUACAUAGUAUACAAUCGCUGACUCAUUGUUAUAUUUAUCCUGAUACCAGAUUCGAAUUUACGCAACUCUAACAGUAUUCACUGUAGUGUUUCUGCAGACUCCAGUCCGCAAAAAACACUACGGUGAAAUGGAGAACAGACAAAAAUGAGUGUCCCCUUGCCGGAGAGGUGAGUCCCUGGAUGACUCUUUUCCAGUCGCUAGUGAAAGUCUACACACACCUUGCACUGUCUGCACUGUCCUGCCUGAAGGAAUUAUCUGUGUAGGUCACACUACUUCUCAAAAGCGCAUCGACUGUUUUUCCAAACAGUGAGUGUCGAAGGGGCACUGGCACUCUGGAUCAGAUCAAAUGGUGUUUGUCACGUGCCGACUUUAGAGUGAAACGUUUACUUACAAGCCGGGAAACCAUUUGAUUAAAGAGUGACUGUCCCUGUAAAGCAAGUAAAGCUUUGAAAACAGCUUAUGUGGCAUCGAUAUGAGUCAGAAACCUUUUGACUACAAAGGGGCCUCCUGCGUGGCGCAAUGGUGUAAGGCACUGCUACAGUGCUAUAGGUGUCACUACAGACCCGGAUUUGAUCCCGAUCCAGCAGGAAGGACAGGCACUAACAACCAUCUUGGUUAACUGUGGGUGACAGUCCUUCUCUGUCCUUCUCUGUACCAAAUACGGUUUAGCCAUGAUAAUGCUGUUAGCUCGGAGAUUACCCCUCAGCCUCUGCUGGGUAGGACCAUUGUCCUCUGGUCUGAUGGAACAAUAAUAUAACUUUUUGGCCAUAAUGACCAUUGUUACAGUGGGGCAAAAAAGUAUUUCAUCAGCCACCAAUUGUGCAAGUUCUCCCACUUAAAAAGAUGAGGCAUGUAUUUUUCCUCAUAUGUACACUUCAACUAUGACAGACAAAAUGAGGGAAAAAAAUCCAGAAAAUCAAAUUGUAGGAUUUGUAAUGAAUUUAUUUGCAAAUUAUGGUGGAAAAUACGUAUUUGGUCACCUACAAACAAGCAAGAUUUCUGGCUCUCACAGACCUGUAACUUCUUCUUUAAGAGGCUCCUCUGUCAUCCACUCGUUACCUAUAUUAAUGGCACCUGUUUGAACUUGUUAUCAGUAUAAAAGACACCUGUCCACAACCGCAAACAUUCACACUCCAAACUCCACUAUGGUCAAGACCAAAGAGCUGUCAAAGGACACCAGAAACAAAAUUGUAGACCUGCACCAGGCUGGGAAGACUGAAUCUGCAAUAGGUAAGCAGCUUGGUUUGACCUGCAUGGAGGAAUGGGCCAAAAUACCAGCAACAGUGUGUGAAAACCUUGUGAAGACUUACAGAAAACGUUUGACCUCUGUCAUUGCCAACAAAGGGUAUAUAACAAAGUAUUGAGAAACUUUUGUUAUUGACAAAAUACUUAUUUUCCACCAUAAUUUGCAGUAAAUUCAUUACAAAUCCUACAAUGUGAUUUUCUGGUUUUUUUUCUUAUUUUGUUUGUCAUAGUUGAAGUGUACCUAUGAUGAAAAUUACAGGCCUCUCAUCUUUUUAAAUGGGAGAACUUGCACAAUUGGUGGCUGACUAAAUACUUUUUUUGCCCCACUGUAUGUUUGGAGGAAAAAGAGGGAUGCUUGCAAGCCGAGGAACACCAUCCCAACCGUGAAGCUGGGGGUGGCAGAAUCAUGUUGUGGGGGUGCUUUGCUGCAGGAGGAGCUGGUGCACUUCACAAAAUAGAUGGCAUCAUGAGGACGGAAAAUUAUGUGGAUAUAUUAAAGCAACAUCAAGACAUCAAUCAGGAGUAAGAGUUUGCGUACUCCGGCCAACAUGUUCAUUAUUAACCUGGCGUUAACAGACUUCCUCAUGUGUGUGACUCAGACCCCCAUCUUCUUCAUCAACAGCAUGCAUAACAGGUGGAUCUUUGGAGAAAAAGGCUGGCAAUCAGUAAGUACAUCCCAUGUAUGGGUGUGUUCCUACCAGAGAUCGUUAUAGCAGCUUCAUGUGCUCCACCCGUCGUUCAUCCCUCACCAGUACAUCUGACCCUUGCAAUACUGGCAAGUGCCGCUUCUCCUCCCUGUACAACAGGCCUUACGGAGGCGGAACUCUCCUCUCGUCCGGCCAGUCGUCAGGUGUCUAGUGAUGUCACCCAGCUCCACCCUACCUUCUCUCAGAGGUCAAAAGUUCAUUGUUCCCUGAAGGUGAAAAGUCGCGACUCAGGGGUGUUUGAGAAAACCGCCUCUCAGUCCCCCUUUGACCCUGCUUUCUUCUGCUUGCAACACAUCACUAGCCAGAGGACAUCUCCAUAUCUGAAGUCAUUGGUUUUACCAUUGUCCUUCCUGCUACUCUGGAAGAUGUCAGAAAGGAAAAGUCUAAAGACAUAAGUGGGCGUGUCCCUUCCACAUGCCUAAACGACGCGAUCCCUGCCAUCAUCGUCACCUCUAUGGAAAUCCCCUAAAUGGGUGGGGUCUGUUGUGAGAGAACUGCUGGAUGUUGUGCAAUUGGACAAUGUAUGACACAGCUCUGUGUGUCGUUUCUCUCCUCCUCUAAAGGGCUCUACACUGCCAGCAUGGUAUCUAGUGUCUGUGUGUGUGUAACAGUAUUGCUUCCAUCCCGCUCCUCGCCCCAACUUGGGCUUAAACCAGGGACCCUCUGAACACAUCAUCAACAGUCACCCAAGAAGCAUGGUUACCUAUCGCUCCACAAAAGCUGCUGCUCCUUGCAGAGCAAGGGAAACAACUAAUUCAAGGUCUCAGAGCGAGUGACGUCACCGAUUUAAACACUAGUAGCACAGACUGCUAACUAGCUAGCCAAUUCACACCGUGUGUGUUUUGUAUUUGUGGAUUUAGAGACGUUUUCCAUUGAGCUGUAGAAAACACAAUCUGAAAACAGUUUCAGUCGGUGACUUUCCUUUUUAUGUUUUUAAACAUGGAGGAUUGUCAAUGUUUUCCUCUCCACAUUCUCUCCCUCCUCCUUUUCCCUCCCUCCUCCCGCACUUUCUCUCUCCUCCCUCCUGAAUUUAUUUACACAAAGUGUCUGUAGGCUAUUUCUCUCCUCCUCCCUGAAGAAUACACCGUUGGAGUUUCUUUUUACAAUAUUCAUUCUUAUUUUUUAUGGUUCUACAUUUCAAGGGAAAUGGCAGAAUGGGUCAUUGUCUAUUGCUUAUCACCAUUUAGACCUGUCACCUAAGUGUGUGGGGGGGGGGGGUUAGGGGAGAAGUUUCUACUGUAUAUGGUCCUAACCCAGUGCCCCAGACAGCACCAUAUUGAUAAGAUAAUAAAGAUAUUGUAAGUGUAUGUGAUAAGGUGAGUGUGUACUCAAUUGUUUUAAUCGUCAUUUCGGCACCAUACACGGCCCUGCCCCAAUUUAAAUGGCACCCUAUUCCCUAGUGUACUACUUUUAACAGCCCUAUGUAGGGAACAGGGUAUUAUUUGGGACAGUGUAUUUCUCUGCUGCGCGUCGACUCUAUGGUUGUAAAGGAUCUCUCUGGUGUGCAAAUACAGAUUUAGUUGUGGUUCUGAAUGUUGAUGAGCUGAUUGAUUUGUAAAGUCUUAUAUCGAUGAACUGAUUGAUUUAUGUCUUGUAUUGAGGAAAAUAACAACUUUUCAGCUGUUAUGUCAUUGAAAUAUUUCUCAAAACCUUUGUUCUAAAUUAGGUGAGGGUUUAUUGUAGAUUUGUGAUGGAUGUGUGAAACAGUUUGUUUGAGUUAUUUUUAUGUCAUUUUCUAAACAAAUGCAUUACUGGCAGCUGUGUUUUGUUAUCUGGUUGGUUAUGGACUAUGUACCAUCAGCAGCCUAUGUGAGUGUUGUGAGAAGUUGGAUAGAAAAUAAAAGUUUGCUGAUGUGGGA